AUUUAAAUAGUUUAUAAUUAAAAUAUUAAUUUGUGAAAUUAAAGAAAUAAAAAAUUUUAAAUU
This 63-nucleotide transfer RNA is filed under the name Aleurodicus dugesii (Doogie Howzer whitefly). RNAcentral describes it as "tRNA-His". Lineage: Eukaryota; Metazoa; Arthropoda; Insecta; Hemiptera; Aleyrodidae. The record is from RNAcentral.